Molecule: long non-coding RNA, 409 nt
Filed under: Pan troglodytes (chimpanzee)
Lineage: Eukaryota; Metazoa; Chordata; Mammalia; Primates; Hominidae
Description: long non-coding RNA NONPTRT012207
Source: RNAcentral
CAUGAUCUAUUUUUUCCAAGAGCUAUAAAAUCUUUCUAGUAUGACUUUUUUUACAAAGAAGAAAACAUCACAUAUCAAGAGGAUAUAUCUUGGAGGAUGAGAAAAGAUACAAGAAUAAGUCAUAAUUAUGUAGCCAGACUUGAAAACUCAUGGCGGGCCAGAAGCUAUGAAGACAUCGAAGAGAUGGGAAGCAGAUAGGAAGUGGCAUCAAUCAGCUGAGUUUUCACACAAUAUCAGAUUUGUAAACAGACUUAACUCAUUGAGAAGUUAAGUCACUCAUCUGUCCUGCAAUCUCGGCCAACUUGGUGUUUGAAAGGCCAUCAAUGGAUUGAAUGAUGCUGCCCACAUUGGUGAGGAUGGAUAUUCUUUGCUCAGUCUACUGAUUCAAAUGUGAAUCUCUUCCAGAAAC